Long non-coding RNA from Oncorhynchus masou masou (cherry salmon), 336 nucleotides. RefSeq lists it as uncharacterized. The record is from RefSeq and is a predicted model, not a curated record. The transcript is spliced from 2 exons. NCBI's taxonomy places the organism in Eukaryota, Metazoa, Chordata, Actinopteri, Salmoniformes, Salmonidae.
CGGAUUCCAGUACCUGGUGGACUGGGAGGGUUACGGCCCGGAGGAGAGAAGUUGGGUGCCUGCUAGGGACAUUCUGGAUCACUCCCUUAUCGAUGAUUUCAAUCGACAGAUCGUUGUUUCUUCCCUGAGGUUGUGUCGUGUGUCCGUGCUCUUCUCUUGUGUGGAUUAUCUGCUGUGCUCCUUCCUACUCAUCCGGACACACUCCCCUGGUUUUCUCAGCACGUUAUCAUCGGAAGAUGCGCCCGAGUCCCUGGGUCGGAUUCCGUCUGAGUACAGUCUGUCUGUCCUGUUGCUGCUGUGAACUAUAUUCAUUAAACCAUCGUUGCUUGCAUCUUG